Small nucleolar RNA from Arabidopsis thaliana (thale cress), 106 nucleotides. It matches the Rfam family "Plant small nucleolar RNA R71". Rfam says of the family: R71 is a member of the C/D box family of snoRNAs containing the C (UGAUGA) and D (CUGA) box motifs. The record is from Rfam. Lineage: Eukaryota; Viridiplantae; Streptophyta; Magnoliopsida; Brassicales; Brassicaceae.
AAACCGUGAUUAGGGCACUGAGUGGUGUAGCUUUUGAACCUCUCCCAGGCUUCACAGAAAGUUCUAUUGUUUUUUGUGUGAACCUGGAGAUCUCAUUCCUCAAUCU